GUCGAGAAUCUUUCACAAUGGGGGCAACCCUGAUGGAGCGACGUCGCGUGGAGGAUAAGGUCUUCGGAUUGUAAACUCCUGUCAUGCGUGAACAAGGUUGCUUGGUUAAUACCUGGGCAAAUUGAUGGUAACGCAAGAGGAAGAGACGGCUAACUCUGUGCCAGCAGCCGCGGUAAUACAGAGGUCUCAAGCGUUGUUCGGAAUCACUGGGCGUAAAGGGUGCGUAGGUGGCGUGGUAAGUCAGAUGUGAAAGCCCGGGGCUCAACCUCGGAACUGCAUCCGAUACUGCCAUGCUAGAGUACUGGAGAGGUGACUAGAAUUCUCGGUGUAGCAGUGAAAUGCGUAGAUAUCGAGAGGAAUACCAAAGGCGUAGGCAGGUCACUGGACAGUUACUGACACUGAGGCACGAAGGCCAGGGGAGCGAACGGGAUUAGAAACCCUGGUAGUCC
This 449-nucleotide ribosomal RNA is filed under the name uncultured bacterium. RNAcentral's name for it is "partial 16S ribosomal RNA". It matches the Rfam family "Bacterial small subunit ribosomal RNA", at positions 354 to 796 of the family's 1533-position model. The record is from RNAcentral.